This is an RNA transcript of Hyposmocoma kahamanoa, 1155 nucleotides long. RefSeq lists it as uncharacterized. The transcript is spliced from 4 exons. The record is from RefSeq and is a predicted model, not a curated record. NCBI's taxonomy places the organism in Eukaryota, Metazoa, Arthropoda, Insecta, Lepidoptera, Cosmopterigidae.
ACCGUCCUGAGUGAAAACGUGAUCAUUUUAAGCACUCUUUAGAACACUUUCAUUUAGAUGUAAUAACAAUAACAAAGAAGAUGUGUACUGUAUUGACAUUUUUUACAAUUAAUUUUUUAAUGAUAUGUGCACAAGAAUCGACCGUUGGUGAGAAAUCUAUUUGUACAUGUAUAUAUUUUUUGCUGGUGGUGACAAUAAAGACCGAAGAUGAGGGCCAUGACGUAUAUUUAACUAAUUGUCCUCGUCUAUGAAGAUCGGUGAUAAUAAAAAACGUGGAUCUAUCAGAAUUUGAAAACAGCUCGGACGUGCAAAAUUUUGAAAACAAUACGAAAAUACCAGUGGAUUUAAACGAAGACGAAAACAAUACGCGACCGGAUGCUGCGGGAGCACGACGUUAUGGUUUUCAACAAACUAUGACAAGGGCAUGUCAAGAUUACGCCAAAACCUAUAUGUGCGUUCGAAAAUGCUUAGACUUUAAUUUCGACAUUGCUCGUUCCGAUAGAAACUGUAAAUGUACAUGCUACAAACAUGCAGAAAAAGCGACAUUCACUAUGCCCCUUGCUGGCUUCACGAAUGGCUCUAAAUGGAAGUCGGGUCCUCCGACCACGACUAUUUUCGUUACGCCCAAGUUUCCUCCUACAUUUGAUGAUUCACCUGAAGAAGAAGAACGUGAAACAGACAAUGAAAAAAAUACGGAGAAAACAAGUGGUGAAAAAAGUAAAGAACACGGUUUGGACUCAGAAGGUAGCAAAGAAUCAGAUUCAAAUACGACCGAAGUGGAUGGUGGUAGUGGCGGUGGUGGCGGUGGUAAGCCGGUUACCGAUGAAAAUGGUAAUGUUGUCACAGGAGAAGAUGGACAAAUUAUUACUGAAAAAGAAGGAGGAGAAACCAAAGCGGAAGGGGAGGACGAAGGUAAACCAACAGCGCAAGAAGAGGAAGGGGGUGAAUCUCAGGCAUAGUGAAGUUAAACAUUUUAUAAAAUUUAUGCAUAGGUAGUUAAGUAUGAAAUUAUUCUACCAUAAACAUUAGAUAAAGUUAUCUGUUUAAUUAUUAUGGCGAGUUUAAAAAUUUAGCUCUUAAACUUUGGAAAUGAAAUACACAUUGAUUAUUUAUCUACGAAUAAGGUCGUUAAUGAAUAAAAUUUACCUCAGGAUC